RNAcentral lists this ribosomal RNA (253 nucleotides) under uncultured prokaryote. RNAcentral's name for it is "partial 16S ribosomal RNA". It matches the Rfam family "Bacterial small subunit ribosomal RNA", at positions 524 to 776 of the family's 1533-position model. The record is from RNAcentral.
UACGAAGGGUGCAAGCGUUACUCGGAAUUACUGGGCGUAAAGGGUGCGUAGGUGGUCGUUUAAGUCCGUUGUGAAAUCCCUGGGCUCAACCUGGGAAUGGCAGUGGAUACUGGACGGCUAGAAUGCGGUAGAGGGUAGUGGAAUUCCCGGUGUAGCAGUGAAAUGCGUAGAGAUCGGGAGGAACACCAGUGGCGAAGGCGGCUACCUGGACCACAACUGACGCUGAGGCGCGAAAGCUAGGGGAGCAAACAGG